RNAcentral lists this ribosomal RNA (253 nucleotides) under uncultured bacterium. RNAcentral's name for it is "partial 16S ribosomal RNA". It matches the Rfam family "Bacterial small subunit ribosomal RNA", at positions 524 to 776 of the family's 1533-position model. The record is from RNAcentral.
UACGUAGGGUGCGAGCGUUAAUCGGAAUUACUGGGCGUAAAGCGUGUGCAGGCGGUGAUGUAGGACAGAUGUGAAAUCCCCGGGCUCAACCUGGGAACUGCAUUUGUGACUGCAUCGCUGGAGUGCGGCAGAGGGGGAUGGAAUUCCGCGUGUAGCAGUGAAAUGCGUAGAUAUGCGGAGGAACACCGAUGGCGAAGGCAAUCCCCUGGGCCUGCACUGACGCUCAUGUACGAAAGCGUGGGGAGCAAACAGG